Molecule: ribosomal RNA, 138 nt
Filed under: uncultured bacterium
Lineage: Bacteria
Description: partial 16S ribosomal RNA
Rfam family: Bacterial small subunit ribosomal RNA
Source: RNAcentral
UGGGGAAUAUUGGACAAUGGGCGAAAGCCUGAUCCAGCAAUGCCGCGUGUGUGAAGAAGGUCUUCGGAUUGUAAAGCACUUUCGACGGGGACGAUGAUGACGGUACCCGUAGAAGAAGCCCGGCUAACUUCGUGCUAG